Molecule: long non-coding RNA, 659 nt
Organism: Dioscorea cayenensis subsp. rotundata (Guinea yam)
Lineage: Eukaryota; Viridiplantae; Streptophyta; Magnoliopsida; Dioscoreales; Dioscoreaceae
Exons: 3
Source: RefSeq, a predicted model, not a curated record
UUUCCCAAAACUCCAUCUCUCCCUAAAUCUGAAACCCCAUAUCUAUUGCUCACAAACCCUAAUCCCCAACUCCAUCUCUCUAAGCUUGGAUUGUGUUGCAUCAUUGCCAGAAAGCAUGGGUUGGGUUGUAUUCCUCGCCGUCGGCGUCGUCUCUAAGCAGUUCAAGCCCCGCAUCUCUUGCUCAGCAACCCUAAUCCCCAACCCCCAUUGAAGCAUAGAUUGGGUUGCUUUCCUCAUCGUCGAAUAUCAAAGGAAUUGUCCAACAUAGAAGGAGAAUGGGUAGUUGUCCAUUUGAGGAAGGAUUUGUUCAGUGAUCUUAUAAACCAACAUUCUAUGAUGUGACGCGAACUAGGGAACUGCUAAGUAGGCUAUCUGAAGAUACACAAAUCAUAAAAACUGCUGCAACAACCAAUCUGUUGGUAGGCCUACAUAAUCCUACCACAACACGUAUCCGUCUUGGCUUAUGUUUACAACCUCAUGGAAAUUGACCUGUGAGUACCUAUAUUGCAUAUUCGGUGUUUACUAUUUUAAUGGAUAUCUUGCGAAAAGGAUAUGUAAAUUAUGAAGAAUAUCUCGUCUUUAAGACAUUUGAACAAUCAAAGUGGGCAUGUAGAUUUGUAUGAAUAUAUAAUGCCCAUAUUAUUCCAGGGCCUUUAUUC